CAGCUUAUCAAGGAUACUGAAAGAAAGAAGAAAAAAGAGAGAGAGAGAACAACACAACACAAGGGGGAAAAAAAUUCUCACUCUAUCUCUUUAAUUUAGAAAGCUUUGAGGGAAACACACAAAUAUGCACAUAUUAAUUUUCUGUCUUCGCAUUGUUUAUUAUUUUUUGUGUAUUUUUGUUUCUUUAACAAUUGUAUAAAAAUUAUAUUUGUAUUCUUCAUGAAAUUCUAAUGAUUUUACCCUCAAGAAUUGUGCAAAAAUUCUAAUUAUUUUAGCCUCAAGAAUCGUACAAAAACUUUUAAAGAGAGUUAUGGCUAUUUAAAAUUAGGGUGUUUUCUGUCUAUGAUUUGCAGAACAGCUGAUUUUUGG
Molecule: unclassified non-coding RNA, 369 nt
Filed under: Hevea brasiliensis (rubber tree)
Lineage: Eukaryota; Viridiplantae; Streptophyta; Magnoliopsida; Malpighiales; Euphorbiaceae
Source: RNAcentral